This 2223-nucleotide long non-coding RNA is filed under the name Homo sapiens (human). RNAcentral describes it as "HSALNT0309768". The record is from RNAcentral. Lineage: Eukaryota; Metazoa; Chordata; Mammalia; Primates; Hominidae.
UUCAAUACACAAACCCGAUCUUUAUUUUUAGCUUUACGUAGUGUUUUCCCAUUUGUCACUAGCUUUUGCUCAUCACUUUUGUCAUAAAACUUCAACAGUCUGUCCUUCUGUUUCUUCAGGUCACGUAUGGUGGUCAUUCCAACACCACGCUCUUUUCUAAGACAUUUCACACUUAAGCUGUGGUCCUAUUUCCCCAACAGCUGGACUUUCUGUGCCAUAAAUCAAUGCUUUGUCUUUUUCUUAUUACGUUUGCCCAAAGGGGUAUCUGUAGCCCUUUUUAAUAUUUCCAGCAAUAUCUUUACACCACAGAGCAGAGAAUAAGAAAAAACAAAACAAAACAGUGAGUCAUGCAGCCAGCCACUGUUAGGACUGUGGGCUUCCUUAAGCUCUUUCCUUAGGCCCUACUGGUGCAGUCCUGAACCUCCACUAAAGACCGCUGGCCAUUCCCCCGGACUUCUGCCAAAGGCCGUUCUUCCCUCUAGCUUGGAUGCUGUUACUGCCCAGGGUUUGGAUCUCAUCGCUACCAUAGACUGUUGGAGUUUCAAGGGUGGAGAUCCGCCAUUGCUUUUUCCAUAUCCGCAGAAAUUCCUUUCACAUGAAAUGUGAGUCUGUUGGGUUCCCCCCCGAGACCAGCGGUGGAAGAAGAAGCUGGAGGUGGCUGAUGAGACACUUCAUGCUGGACCAAGAAACGGGGACUCGGGGUUGAGUCCACAUGUGCCAUUUGUGGGGACGCCGUGCAUUCCCCAGUUUGCCGCUCUCUGUUUCAAAUUCUUUCACUCGAUGCUGUUGUGGGCAUGAAGUCAAAGCAGGCAUGUGUGAGACAGUGCUUUGUAAAACAUAAGGCACGGAACAAGUUUAGAACAGGAAGAGUUGAAGCUGGAUUGACGCAAUUACCAAAAAUAAAAUUAGCUGAGGGUGUCAGCGAUGAGCCAUGGAACUUUUAAUAAUCAUCACAUUUUAGGUCGGUGCCUUUAUGCUUUGAAUUCAAAUGGCAUCAAUUUAGGAAUAAAGAAGUCAACAGUUUUAAUGGCCCAAUAUGGAUGCAAGGGUCACUGAUUACUUUAGGGUCCUUAUGUUGCAAGGAGUCUAGGAAAAACUUCAAUUUUUUUUUUUUACAGCAACGUGAUUCUCUUUGUGGUGUCUACUAAAAUAAGAAAGUUACAGUGAGAUUUCUUCAGUGUUCUGAUGGCUUUCUGCCUCUCCUCUGACCAGCGUGAGCCACUCCUUCAUCUCUGCCUCUCACUUUCUGCUUGACAGUCAAGGCUCGCCUUGAACCUCCCUCUUCAGAAAGCCUUUCUGACCUGCCUCCUCAGGAGUGUUUGUUUGUGGUAUUUGACCACAAUCUGCACUAUACUAAUUAGCUAUGAUUUUUAUGGGGCUGGAGGAACUUCUAAGGCAGCAGCCGCGUCGGGUUCUUCUGUCUCCUUCCCAGGGCUUCCUCAGGGCUUAGUACAGGGCAUGUGCUAAGCAUUCCCUAGCCCCUUCCUUUGCCCUUGUUUGUUCUUUCUAAUCAGAUUCUGUGGGGAAGUUCAUUGUCACAAUGUCCAAUGUUUAGCAUUCAAAGGCUGCAUGAGGUAGAUCAGGUAAACAUACCUCUCUGGCUGUACCAAAAUGGGGGGUUUGGCAUAUCCGCCACCUGAAAGCAGCUGGACCCUGCGUGGAUCUGGGUUUGUAUGCUGUGAGUAAUGCUGUCUGCAUCUUCGAAUCUUUCACUGUAAGAAACAAAAGUCUGACAGCCUCUGAAUCCCGCCCUCCUUCCUGAUACACUGUGACAAUGUGUUUAUAGUACCCUGUUGAUGCUGACCAGAUGCUUGAAGAGGACAGGGUCAGAUGCUUUGUUUGCCGAAGAAACCAGGUAGAUACCCACACUGUGGCCCCAGGAGCUGGCAGCAUCCUGGCAGCACCCUCGCAGCACCGCAGAGCCCCCACCUGCCUGCCCGUCACCGAUGUCCUUUCUCUUCUUGAGUUAAGCCUUUCACUUACUGUCAGCUGGAGGAUGCAUGCCACAGCUAAAUCCCUGGCUAAAAGGUACUAACUCCCAGAUGCUCCAACCCCCACUGUGGGACUCACCGUGAAAAUGUCCAGUUUCUUUAUUAUCAAAGAAAAAUAAUAGUCAGUGAAACCCAAACAAAUCUUAGCGCUCCAUGUGGCACAGUCUCUGCCUAUUGGGACAAACUUGUGAUCUGUUUCAUACACCUUAAGAUACAAUGUAUCUUUCGGGAG